Molecule: long non-coding RNA, 252 nt
Filed under: Daucus carota (carrot)
Lineage: Eukaryota; Viridiplantae; Streptophyta; Magnoliopsida; Apiales; Apiaceae
Description: long non-coding RNA (DCAR_LNC002375)
Source: RNAcentral
UUUCAUUUUUUUUUUAAGAAUUACACUAAAGCCCUCCCCAUACCUAAAUCAUGCAUUGUCCUCAAUGUAUGCAAAAGAGAGAAUUGAAAUUAGAGAGUAAAGAGGAAAAAUACCUGAAUAGGAGAUGAAGGGGAUUUUUAUUAACUACUGAAGCAACUUACAUGAUCAAGGGUCGAUGAGGUGGAUGACCUCUUCCUCCGAAUCAACAAGCAAUUCUAAAAAUGGUUUAAGGCGUUGACCAUUAACUUUAAA